Molecule: ribosomal RNA, 253 nt
Filed under: uncultured bacterium
Lineage: Bacteria
Description: partial 16S ribosomal RNA
Rfam family: Bacterial small subunit ribosomal RNA
Source: RNAcentral
UACGGGGGGGGCAAGCGUUAUUCGGAAUUAUUGGGCGUAAAGGGCGCGUAGGCGGUUGAGUAAGUCAGAUGUGAAAGCCCUUGGCUUAACCAAGGAAGGGCAUUUGAUACUAUUUGACUUGAGUACGGGAGAGGGAAGUGGAAUUCCUGGUGUAGAGGUGAAAUUCGUAGAUAUCAGGAGGAACACCGGUGGCGAAAGCGACUUCCUGGACCAAUACUGACGCUGAGGCGCGAAGGCGUGGGGAGCAAACAGG